GUGGGGAAUAUUGGACAAUGGGCGAAAGCCUGAUCCAGCCAUGCCGCGUGUGUGAAGAAGGUCUUCGGAUUGUAAAGCACUUUAAGUUGGGAGGAAGGGCAGUAAGUUAAUACCUUGCUGUUUUGACGUUACCGACAGAAUAAGCACCGGCUAACUUCGUGCCAGCAGCCGCGGUAAUACGAAGGGUGCAAGCGUUAAUCGGAAUUACUGGGCGUAAAGGGUGCGUAGGCGGCGUGGUAAGUCAGAUGUGAAAUCCCGGGGCUCAACCUCGGAACUGCAUCCGAUACUGCCAUGCUUGAGGGCUGGAGAGGUAACUGGAAUGCUCGGUGUAGCAGUGAAAUGCGUGGAUAUCGAGAGGAACACUCGUGGCGAAGGCAAUCCCCUGGGCCUGUACUGACGCUCAUGCACGAAAGCGUGGGGAGCAAACAGGAUUAGAUACCCUGGUAGUCC
RNAcentral lists this ribosomal RNA (450 nucleotides) under uncultured bacterium. RNAcentral describes it as "partial 16S ribosomal RNA". It matches the Rfam family "Bacterial small subunit ribosomal RNA", at positions 354 to 796 of the family's 1533-position model. The record is from RNAcentral.